GUUGGGAAAUGAUGAGAAGUUACCUCUUGUCAAAGGCACAAACCAUGCUGAUUGUAUUAUUUUGCACGUCAGUCUGAUCCCAUU
Mercurialis annua (annual mercury) is the source of this 84-nucleotide small nucleolar RNA. RefSeq annotates it as small nucleolar RNA Z122. NCBI's taxonomy places the organism in Eukaryota, Viridiplantae, Streptophyta, Magnoliopsida, Malpighiales, Euphorbiaceae. The transcript has a single exon. The record is from RefSeq and is a predicted model, not a curated record.